Molecule: ribosomal RNA, 253 nt
Filed under: uncultured bacterium
Lineage: Bacteria
Description: partial 16S ribosomal RNA
Rfam family: Bacterial small subunit ribosomal RNA
Source: RNAcentral
UACGUAGGGGGCAAGCGUUGUCCGGAAUCAUUGGGCGUAAAGCGCGUGUAGGCGGCCCGGUAAGUCCGCUGUGAAAGUCCAGGGCUCAACCCUGGAAUGCCGGUGGAUACUGUCGGGCUCGAGUCCGGAAGAGGCGAGUGGAAUUCCUGGUGUAGCGGUGAAAUGCGCAGAUAUCAGGAGGAACACCGGUGGCGAAGGCGGGUCUCUGGGCCGUAACUGACGCUGAGGAGCGAAAGCGUGGGGAGCGAACAGG